Molecule: ribosomal RNA, 383 nt
Filed under: uncultured eukaryote
Lineage: Eukaryota
Description: partial 18S ribosomal RNA
Rfam family: Eukaryotic small subunit ribosomal RNA
Source: RNAcentral
CAAUAGCGUAUAUUAAAGUUGUUGCAGUUAAAAAGCUCGUAGUUGGAUUUCUGGUAGGAGUGACCGUUCCGAACUUGAUUGUUCGUGUAUUGUGUUUUCUCCAGCCAUCCUUGUGGAGAACUUUUCUUGCAUUAAUUUGUAGGGAUUGGGACCCGCAUCGUUUACUGUGAAAAGAUUAGAGUGUUUAAAGCAGGCAAUCGCUUGAAUACAUUAGCAUGGAAUAAUAAGAUAGGACUUUGGUACUAUUUUGUUGGUUUGCAUACCAAAUUAAUGAUCAACAGGAACAGUUUGAGGAUAUUCGUAUGAACAUGUCAGAGGUGAAAUUCUUGGAUUUUGAUCAGACGAACUACUGCGAAAGCAUUUAUCAAGGAUGUUUUCAUUAA